UACGUAGGGGGCCAGCGUUGUCCGAAGUUACUGGGCGUAAAGAGCGCGUAGGCGGGAGGUUAAGUCCGCUGUGAAAGUCCGCAGCUUAACUGCGGAAGGUCGGUGGAGACUGGCUUCCUUGAAGCAGAUGGGGGGAGAUGGAAUUACCGGUGUAGCAGUGAAAUGCGUAGAGAUGUGGAGGAACACCGAUGGCGAAGGCAGCCCCCUGGGUCAAGAUUGACGCUCAUGCACGAAAGCGUGGGGAGCAAACAGG
Molecule: ribosomal RNA, 253 nt
Filed under: uncultured bacterium
Lineage: Bacteria
Description: partial 16S ribosomal RNA
Rfam family: Bacterial small subunit ribosomal RNA
Source: RNAcentral